This 991-nucleotide long non-coding RNA is filed under the name Medicago truncatula (barrel medic). Its description in RNAcentral is "long non-coding RNA (MTRU_LNC004173)". Lineage: Eukaryota; Viridiplantae; Streptophyta; Magnoliopsida; Fabales; Fabaceae. The record is from RNAcentral.
CAAAAGCAGCCUUCUUCUCCGGUGAACCAUGCAGUUUCCGGCGUGGUGGCCGCCGGCCAACAGGCGGCGCCGCCGCGCCGGAAAAAAAAAAAAACACCUCCGUUUGCAAAUUUUUUUACGUUUUUAAAGAUUCUUUUUAGCAUAGAACUCAAAUCCGGUCUCGAAAAUUUCAAAACCAAUCACAUACACUCUAGAUCUAAGAUCAAACACAGCACAAAAGAAAGGUAAAGUGAACUACCUCUGAGAUCUGAAUGAACACGAACAGAAACAAACAGGUCACCACGUCUUCUUUACUCACGUUCUCGACUCCGACUCUUCUCUCUCGUCCGUUUCCGGCUUGGCUGCGUUUAUGUGUUGAUUGAAAGAUGACGGUAAGAAAAAAUGAAGGACGUUGGUGUUGAUGAUUAUAAUGGAAAAUGGUGUUUGUGAAUUUAUCUGAUUUUGAUGUUUGCUGGAAUUUAUUUGAUUUUGGUGUUUGCUGGAAUUUAUUUGAUUUUGGUGUUGGCUGGAAUUUUGCUUGAAGUUUUUAAGUGUUCUUCCCAAAACUCAUACUAUUUUCUAUGUAAUUUUUGGGCUUGAUUUGAAAAAAGGUUGGAAAAGUAGAAAAUUAGGGUUUGUGUGGUUUGAGGGACUGAUUUGACUCUGACGUGAACAGUGAUUUUUUCUGGGCCAUUUCCCAAUGAUUGACAGGGUUUUUAUAGUGACAAACUAGGGUUGGCUCUGGUACAAAACAAAGACCAAAAUGCCCCUGCAGCUGAGACUUGGAGAAAAAGAUUUUAACAAAUAAAUAAAUAAAUAAAUAAAAUAAAAACAAAAUGCAUAAAAUAAAUAAACAAAAUAAAUAAAAAGAAAGAAAAGAAAAGGGGAAGGAGUCAUUCACGUGACUUUCAUUCCCUUGUUUUUUUUCUAAAAAAAUAAAAAAAUAAAAUAAAAAUAAACAAACUAACCUAAAAAAAGAAAAUAAAAAGUCCCUUCGAAAUCUGACAUGAGG